Molecule: long non-coding RNA, 527 nt
Organism: Musca domestica (house fly)
Lineage: Eukaryota; Metazoa; Arthropoda; Insecta; Diptera; Muscidae
Exons: 3
Source: RefSeq, a predicted model, not a curated record
UGACAGUUCAUUGUCCAAGCAGCUGUGUUGAUGCGACUACUUGUAUUCUUCUUCCAUGAGAUGGACUUACUUGCCGACCUUCAGGGUUACCGUUGUGCGACUAAAAUUGCAAUUUGUCACCUUUUUGACACCCUGUGUUUUUAUGUAAAACUUUUUAAAAGAUUUUGUGACUUUUUGGAAUUUGUGCGAAUUCUUUCCCCUAUUUUUAUGUUUUUCAUUUUUUGUAAAGGUUAUAAGCAGAAAAUGUUUGACACGAACUUAUAAGGUUCAAGUCCAUAGAAGGCUUUUUGAAGGCUUAAAGUUCAUUGUCCCAGUAUCUGCGUCGAUGCGACUCCCAAAUGACGAAUAUAGGAGACAAACUAGAGCUCGAUAGUGUCCACAUUUCACCUGUAAAUCGCAUCAGAUAUAGCCACCAGCCCAUCAUAGAACAUAUACUAAAGGAAGAAUAAGAAGACAACCUGUGUAGCAGAUGAAAUUUUUAGAAUAUUCCGUAUUUAUAAAGAUGACUUCUUGAAGCCUUCUACAGU